GACGAACGCUGGCGGCGUGCUUAACACAUGCAAGUCGAGCGGUAAGGCCCUUUCGGGGGUACGACGAGCGGCGAACGGGUGAGUAACACGUGGGUGACCUGCCCUCAGCUCUGGGAUAAGCCUGGGAAACCGGGUCUAAUACCGGAUAUGACUCCAUGACGCAUGUUGUGGGGUGGAAAGCCUUGUGCGGCUGAGGAUGGGCCCGCGGCCUAUCAGCUUGUUGGUGGGGUGAUGGCCUACCAAGGCGACGACGGUAGCCGGCCUGAGAGGGCGACCGGCCACACUGGGACUGAGAUACGGCCCAGACUCCUACGGGAGGCAGCAGUGGGGAAUCUUGCGCAAUGGGCGAAAGCCUGACGCAGCGAUGCCGCGUGAGGGAUGACGGCC
This 387-nucleotide ribosomal RNA is filed under the name uncultured bacterium. Its description in RNAcentral is "bacterial SSU rRNA". It matches the Rfam family "Bacterial small subunit ribosomal RNA", at positions 28 to 416 of the family's 1533-position model. The record is from RNAcentral.